CGCCAUCAUCAGCAGCAGAAGUGAGGUACAACACGGCACACACCACGACAAGGAGUAUUGUUGAAAGGACAAUAGGCCAGCUGAAGCGCAGGUUCCACUGCCUGCACGCCGAGCUGCGCAUGGAGCCAAGCAGAUGCUGCGACAUCAUCGUGGCAUGCUGCGUGCUCCACAAUCUCGCCAAGAGAUACCCCUGCGCGAUGCCAGGGACUGCCAUCCCGCCUGAGGUUCCUGUGGAGCCCAUGGCAGCCGGCCGUGGAGAAAGCAACGAGGCCCGGCGUGCCCUUGUCGACCAGUUCUUCUGUUGAGCGAGGUUCUCCGCCUCCAUCUGCUGCUGGUCCUCAGCUUGCUGCUGAUACCUCUGCGCAGCUUCCCGGCACCAACGUCUCGUCUGCAAGACACGGGGAGCUGCUGCCCACUCUUCUGCUGCUGCCACCCUUUGGCCGCUUCCUGACGCCCGAGGCUGCGGCGCUGCCGUUUGCCUCAAGCUAUCGCUGUGACAAAUGGAUAUGCAGGAAGUGAUUUGCUGUAGUUAUUAGGAGCGUGCAGGCAACAUACGUAUAACAUACAGUGUUUGUAACCCCGACAUGUUGCUGGAAUUUUGCCACAGUGUACUUAACUGUAGAACAGAAACUCUCUGAUGCUUCAAGCAUCUCCGAGUGGACC
Ixodes scapularis (black-legged tick) is the source of this 663-nucleotide long non-coding RNA. RefSeq lists it as uncharacterized. NCBI's taxonomy places the organism in Eukaryota, Metazoa, Arthropoda, Arachnida, Ixodida, Ixodidae. The record is from RefSeq and is a predicted model, not a curated record. The transcript has 3 exons.